GUAGGGACAGAACCAGCUGGUAUCUAACGGUACUCAGUGGACAUAAUUCCGCUUACCUAUGCGGUAAAUCCGCAUACCUAAGGGCUUCUGAAUAUGACUGAAAAUCAUGGUGUCCCCGGUUCGAAUCCGGGUCCCGCCA
RNAcentral lists this transfer RNA (139 nucleotides) under Rubrobacteraceae bacterium. Its description in RNAcentral is "tRNA-Ser". Lineage: Bacteria; Bacillati; Actinomycetota; Rubrobacteria; Rubrobacterales; Rubrobacteraceae. The record is from RNAcentral.